RNAcentral lists this transfer RNA (72 nucleotides) under Opeltia flavorubescens. RNAcentral's name for it is "tRNA-Thr (CGT) (tRNA-Thr-CGT-1-1)". It matches the Rfam family "tRNA". From Rfam's summary of the family: Transfer RNA (tRNA) molecules are approximately 80 nucleotides in length. Their secondary structure includes four short double-helical elements and three loops (D, anti-codon, and T loops). The record is from RNAcentral. Lineage: Eukaryota; Fungi; Ascomycota; Lecanoromycetes; Teloschistales; Teloschistaceae.
GCCUGCUUGGCUUAGUGGUAAAGCACCGCACUCGUAAUGCGGGGAUCCAAGGUUCAAUUCCUUGAGUAGGCA